Molecule: ribosomal RNA, 253 nt
Filed under: uncultured bacterium
Lineage: Bacteria
Description: partial 16S ribosomal RNA
Rfam family: Bacterial small subunit ribosomal RNA
Source: RNAcentral
UACAGAGGUGGCUAGCGUUGUUCGGAUUUAUUGGGCGUAAAGGGUCCGUAGGCGGUCUGAAAAGUCGGAUGUGAAAUCCCACAGCUUAACUGUGGAACUGCAUUCGAAACUCUCAGACUUGAGUGUGAGAGGGGUAAAGGGAAUUCCCGGUGUAAGGGUGAAAUCUGCAGAGAUCGGGAGGAACACCAGUCGCGAAGGCGCUUUACUGGCUCACUACUGACGCUCAGGGACGAAAGCUAGGGGAGCAAACGGG